RNAcentral lists this unclassified non-coding RNA (2802 nucleotides) under Hevea brasiliensis (rubber tree). Lineage: Eukaryota; Viridiplantae; Streptophyta; Magnoliopsida; Malpighiales; Euphorbiaceae. The record is from RNAcentral.
ACAAUAAUUAUUCCUUCAAUAUUUAUCCUUUCUUGUCCCAUGGAGCGUUCAAAAUUUAUCCUUUAGGAGGUGUGGGUGAGUCAUGGCUGUCAAAUUGGUGCUCUUCAUCCUAUUGUUAGCAUGGCUUAUCAAAGCAUCAUCACCAACAUCAUCCUCUAUGUCAAAGCCUGAAUGUCAAGACAUGUGUGGAAACGUUGUAAUUCCAUACCCAUUUGGAAUUGGAGCAGGCUGUUACAUGGAUCCAUGGUUUGAAGUAUUCUGCGACGAAUCUUCUCUCCCUCAUAAACCUUACAUAGGUAGCAUCAACCUGGAACUGCUAGAAGUUUCACUGGAAGGCACUGUUCGUGUCAACAAUUCUGUGCUUUCUUCUAAUUGUCAGGACAAAGCUCCUACUGCAGACGUAAGCUUAUCAGGCAGCCCCUUUUCGUUUUCAGAUACUCGCAACUGGUUCACAGCCCUGGGAUGUGGCAAUCUUGCCUUGAUUCACAGCCAAGACAUGGUUAUUGGUGGUUGCGUGUCAAUUUGCAAUAAAACUGUCAAGAAAAGAAGCUGCAAUGGCAUAAAUUGUUGUCAGAUCACAAUCCCACCUGACCUCAAGUUCAUUAAUGCGACGUUUAUAAGAAUCUCUGCUUCUCAGGAUCAUAAGGAAUGCAAGGUUGCCUUUAUGGUUGACAAAGAAUGGUUCCAAUCCAGUUUGAUAGAUCGAUAUAGGGUCUUGGAUUAUGUUCCGGUUGUGUUGGAGUGGGGGAUCAGUGACGGGACUUGCAUAGAUUGGUCUCAAAGAAACUCUACUGGGGGAUAUUCAACCGAUCUCUGUGGUACCAGUGCUUACUGUUCGAAUAAAAUUGGCAUAUAUUACGGAUGUUCUUGCUAUGAGGGCUAUGAAGGAAAUCCAUACCUUUCUUGUCAAGGUAUCAAUGAAUGCCCUGAUGAUUAUUUUUAUGCGAGAGGAAACUGCCAUUCCAAACUACGGGUUAAAGUGGUGAUCAUUAUUGGUAUCUCUUCGCCUUCCCAUAUUCUUGCCUUUUAUUUUAUAUUUUAGUUUAUUUUUUCAUUUUUCUUUUUAUUAAUUUAGUCAUUCUUCAUUGAUAUUGUGACUUUCUGCACAUGCAUGUUCACAAGAAUAAUUUUAUAUCUUUAAAUUUUAUAUCUUUAUUACAUUUCACGUGUAAAAUCCAUUUGGCUUGAAGCGUGAAUAAACACAAGUUCACUUUACUUGCUUUGUGCUGAAUUAUUCAACUAAUAAAUGGGUAGCUAGAAUUCAAACUAUGCACCUUUUGAUCUGACAUGUCAAGACAGAACUUAACCUACAAGCUUAAACUCGUAGGUAAGACUUCGAGAAUAGUUUCAUAUCUCAAUCAUCUCUGUACAGGUAUAAGUUCUGGUCUUGGGCUACUUUUCCUGAUAGUUGGCUCAUGGUGGCUAUGCAAGGUAUUAAAAAGGCGAAAAGAUUUCAAUCGCCGGCAAAAGUUCUUUAGAAGGAACGGUGGUCUACUUCUGGAACAACAACUAUCUUCGUCUGAAAGUAGUGUCGAAAAAACAAUGUUUACCUCGAAGGAGCUAGACAAGGCUACAGACCAUUAUAACGAGAAUCGAAUCCUUGGCCAAGGAGGCCAAGGCACAGUAUAUAAAGGGAUGUUGUCUGAUGGAAAGCUGGUUGCAAUUAAAAAAUCAAAACUAGUGGACGACAGUAAACUUGAGCAGUUUAUCAAUGAAGUGGUGAUUCUGUCACAGAUUAACCACAGAAAUGUUGUUAAGCUCCUAGGUUGUUGCUUGGAGACAGAAGUUCCUUUAUUAGUUUAUGAGUUCAUUCCUAAUGGAACACUCUUCCAACAUUUACAUGAACCUAAUGAAGAGUUUCCAAUUACAUGGGAAAUGCGUCUACGGAUUGCUGCCGAAGUUGCAGGUGCUGUGUCUUAUUUGCAUUUAGCAGCUUCCAUGCCUAUUUACCAUCGAGAUAUCAAGUCUUCAAACAUUCUCUUGGACAUCAAAUAUAGAGCAAAAGUUUCUGAUUUUGGCACCUCAAAAUCAAUUGCAAUUGAUCAAACACAUGUGACCACUCAAGUACAAGGGACUUUUGGAUAUUUGGAUCCUGAAUUCUUUCAAUCAAGUCAAUUCACAGAAAAGAGCGAUGUUUAUAGCUUUGGAGUAGUUCUUGUUGAGCUUUUAACUGGACAAAAGCCGAUUUCUUGGAUGCGAUCUGUUGAAGAGAGAAGUUUAGUAACAUAUUUCUUACUGUCAAUGGAGCAAAAUCGUUUGUUUGAAAUUCUUGAUGCUCGAGUUCUUAAAGAAGGAGGGAAGGAAGAGAUUAUAGCAGUUGCUAAACUAGCAAAAAGGUGCUUGAACUUGAAUGGAAAGAAGAGGCCUACAAUGAAAGCAAUUGUAAUGGAAUUGGAAGGAAUUAGAGCAUCACAUGGAACUUGUUCAAUCACUGAACAUGAUGAUGAGUAUGAAGAGAUUGAUUUUUCUCAGGGUGAUUACACUGCUCAAUGGGAUGUGGCUUCUUCUUCAACAGUGUCACUUGGAAAUAGUAGUGCACCUGUGACAUCAGAUGGGCAACCUUUACUUUCUAGUUCCUGAUGAUGAAAGGUAGGAUUUCAGGUAUGCCUUUGAUCCAUUGCUUGGACAUGUAUAUGUAUAAAUAUUUGAUUUUAUAGCAUUUAUAGUUGUCAUGUGGUGCCUUAGUUUUAUGAGUUUUAUGUAUAAUUUGACUAAUCCAAUUGUAAGGCAGAGCCCUAUCUUCAGCCUAAGUAAUAUGUACAAUAUUUGAUAUUUUAUGUUAUAUUUUGCUUAAUUCCAAGA